AAUAAAAAAUAAAAAUAAAAAUAAACACCUACAUGCAUCUGUUUUUUGUCAACUGAAUAUUGAGGCCGUUACCAUUACUUAACGAUAGAUAAUGGCAGUUAACAUUACAUAACAUGAUAACAGCCGUUACCAAUGCACCUCAGCAUCUGCUUUUAAAUAACUGGGUAAAGGGUAAUAACCCCUUGAAAAACCCAUAAAUAACUGUAAUGGCUGUCAUUUAAACCAUGCUUCUUACCCUCACUUCCUCCCAAACAAUUGGAAGUUAAAUAUUUCACUUCCCUUGCCUGCUCCUCUCCUUCCUUUAAUGAAUUGUCCCAUCCCUUCCUCUCACCAAUAGAGUGUAAAGGACUAUAGCAUCCUCUCUAACCCCAAAUCCUAUCCAUUUAUUGCUAAGUGUUAAAUGUAUCUUUAUAGAUCCGAUUCUCCUCAAAAUCUCUAAAUAAGACAAUUCCAAAUGGCUCAAGCCACCUCAUUGUGCAAAAACAUACAAGAAUGAUAAUAGAUGUGUUUACAACAAAAACAUUAUAAUUAGGAUAUUGCUUCAGUAUGGAAACAUUUAUGGGAUUUUCCUUUAGAGAUUGAUUCCCUUUGGUACAAGUAUGGCUUACAACAGAAUGGUGUAGAUUAGAAGCAAUGGCAGGAGUUUAUGUCACCCAUCGAAAUUUAUAUGUGAGGUACCCUCUUCUUUCUCCUUUAAUGAAAUAUAAAGGUGGGAUAGGGCCUGUGUUUGUUUCUGGGAAAAUGAUGGAACAGACAGGAGUCAGGACAAUUUCUCUCAUAUAUUUUCCAUCUUGUCCACUUUGCAUGAUCCCCUCUUUCAGUUCAAUUACUGGUUUAUUUAAUUGCCAUAUUUAUUCUGCUUUAGAGUUGAACAAUUUAACUAGUGAACAGUAAACAUUGAGAUUGGAGGUUCAUACAUCUGACAUAAAACAAUUCAUCUAUCAUUUCAUUGUAAUGUGAAUUUAACUCAGAAGUUUGUUGCUCCAAUCUUCUCAUAACCCCAAUGGCAUUAUGUUCAAUACAUAACGGACAUCUAAAAUGGACAUGGAUAUUUAUGAUUUCCAUAUAGAGGAGAAAUUACGAAAAAAUCAAAUGUUUCAAUGCCAGAGUGGACCUGUACCAUACACUUGCAGCCAAGUCCAAGUAGCAUCGGCUAUAAAAUUGCAUUGUUAGAAGAAAAUGAAGUUUAAAAUCUUAACUGGAAAGAACAUGUAAGAUGCGGAUUACAAGACAACAAAAGGAAAAAAUAUAUAUUUCUGGCAGGGGAUAAUUAUAUCCAAAAGAUUAAACUACACAACCACUGGGUUAAUAAGAUGUCACAUAAUGCAACUUGGAAAAGGAUGAAAGAAAAUAAUUCAGAAAAAGAUACCUAGACUCAGGAACAACUUCAGGU
Molecule: unclassified non-coding RNA, 1393 nt
Filed under: Hevea brasiliensis (rubber tree)
Lineage: Eukaryota; Viridiplantae; Streptophyta; Magnoliopsida; Malpighiales; Euphorbiaceae
Source: RNAcentral